GCCGAAGUGGCGGAAUGGUAGACGCAACGGACUUAAAAUCCGUCGGUGAGCGAUCACCGUGGGGGUUCGAGUCCCCCCUUCGGCA
This 85-nucleotide transfer RNA is filed under the name Rhodothermia bacterium. Its description in RNAcentral is "tRNA-Leu". It matches the Rfam family "tRNA". From Rfam's summary of the family: Transfer RNA (tRNA) molecules are approximately 80 nucleotides in length. Their secondary structure includes four short double-helical elements and three loops (D, anti-codon, and T loops). Further hydrogen bonds mediate the characteristic L-shaped molecular structure. tRNAs have two regions of fundamental functional importance: the anti-codon, which is responsible for specific mRNA codon recognition, and the 3' end, to which the tRNAs corresponding amino acid is attached (by aminoacyl-tRNA synthetases). tRNAs cope with the degeneracy of the genetic code in two manners: having more than one tRNA (with a specific anti-codon) for a particular amino acid; and 'wobble' base-pairing, i.e. permitting non-standard base-pairing at the 3rd anti-codon position. The record is from RNAcentral. Lineage: Bacteria; Pseudomonadati; Rhodothermota; Rhodothermia.